Molecule: RNA transcript, 686 nt
Organism: Capra hircus (goat)
Lineage: Eukaryota; Metazoa; Chordata; Mammalia; Artiodactyla; Bovidae
Gene name: S-phase kinase-associated protein 1 pseudogene
Exons: 1
Source: RefSeq, a predicted model, not a curated record
UAGUGGCCUUGUUCUCCGCUUUUCAGUUUUGCUGAUUGACGACGUCGCUCUGCUCACUUCAGCCUGCGGCCCGCCAUCUCCUUGAGACCUAACACCAUGCCUUCAAUUAAGUUGCAGAGUUCUGAUGGAGAGAUAUUUGAAGUUGAUGUUGAAAUUGCAAAACAGUCUGUGACCAUCAAGACUAUGUUGGAAGAUUUGGGAAUGGAUGAUGAAGGAGAUGAUGAUCCAGUCCCCUUGCCAAAUGUUAAUGCAGCAAUAUUAAAAAAGGUCAUUCAGUGGUGCACCCACCACAAGGAUGAUCCUCCUCCUCCUGAGGAUGAUGAGAACAAAGAAAAAUGAACAGAUGAUAUACCUGUUUGGGAUCAAGAAUUCCUGAAAGUUGACCAAGGGACACUCUUUGAGCUUAUAUUGGCAGCAAACUACUUAGACAUCAAAGGUUUGCUUGACGUUACCUGCAAGACUGUUGCUAAUAUGAUCAAGGGCAAAACUCCUGAGGAGAUUCGAAAGACAUUCAAUAUCAAAAAUGAUUUUACUGAAGAAGAGGAAGCCCAGGUACGCAAAGAGAACCAGUGGUGUGAGGAGAAGUGAAAUUUCGUAUCUAACGCUGUAACACUGUAAGGAUUAUUCCAAAUACUAGUUGCACUGCUUUGUUUAUAAUUGUUAAUAUUAGAAAAACAGUCAACAAA